UACGUAGGGGCCGAGCGUUGUCCGGAAUUACUGGGCGUAAAGUGUGCGCAGGUGGCCGCGCAAGUCGAGUGUGAAAUCCCCGAGCUUAACUUGGGAAUUGCGCUCGAAACUACGUGGCUCGAGUGUGGCAGAGGAAGGUGGAAUUCCACGUGUAGCGGUGAAAUGCGUAGAGAUGUGGAGGAACACCGAUGGCGAAGGCAGCCUUCUGGGUCAACACUGACGCUCAUGCACGAAAGCGUGGGGAGCAAACAGG
Molecule: ribosomal RNA, 253 nt
Filed under: uncultured bacterium
Lineage: Bacteria
Description: partial 16S ribosomal RNA
Rfam family: Bacterial small subunit ribosomal RNA
Source: RNAcentral